AAGGAUCAUUACCGAGAGCGGGGCCUCGCGCUCCCGGGGGCUUCGGCCCCCAACUCUUCACCCUGUGUGUACCCAUCUUAGUUGCUUUGACGGGCCCCGAGGGGUCUCUUUCGCGCCGGCCCGGAGGGCUCGGUGAGCGUCCGUCAGAUGCCUUCCUAAAUACUGCUUAUCAGUGCCGUCCGAGUAUCAAUAUACAAUAUAUUAAAACUUUCAACAACGGAUCUCUUGGUUCCAGCAUCGAUGAAGAACGCAGCGAAAUGCGAUAAGUAAUGUGAAUUGCAGAAUUCAGUGAAUCAUCGAAUCUUUGAACGCACAUUGCGCCCCUCGGUAUUCCGGGGGGCAUGCCUGUUCGAGCGUCAUUACACCCCUCAAGCGUAGCUUGGUAUUGGGCCCUCGCCCCCGCGGCGUGCCCGAAAAGCAGUGGCGGUCCAGCGUGACUUUAAGCGUAGUAAACUUAUCCCGCUUUGAAAGUUCGCGUCCGGCCGGCCAGAAGCUCUAUAUGCUUUAAUAAUUGACCUCGGAUCAGGUAGGGAUACCCGCUGAACUUAA
RNAcentral lists this ribosomal RNA (549 nucleotides) under Flavoparmelia caperata. RNAcentral describes it as "eukaryotic LSU rRNA". The stretch from base 206 to 359 matches the Rfam family "5.8S ribosomal RNA". The record is from RNAcentral. Lineage: Eukaryota; Fungi; Ascomycota; Lecanoromycetes; Lecanorales; Parmeliaceae.